RNAcentral lists this ribosomal RNA (253 nucleotides) under uncultured bacterium. RNAcentral's name for it is "partial 16S ribosomal RNA". It matches the Rfam family "Bacterial small subunit ribosomal RNA", at positions 524 to 776 of the family's 1533-position model. The record is from RNAcentral.
UACAGAGGAGCCAAGCGUUGUCCGGAUUGACUGGGCGUAAAGCGCACGCAGGCGGUCGCGCGCGUGGGGUGUGAAAUCUGGCCGCUUAACGGCCAGGCGCCAUCCCAUACGGCACGACUGGAGUGAUGCAGAGGUCGAUGGAAUUGCCGGUGUAGUGGUGAAAUGCGUAGAGAUCGGGCGGAACACCAGCGGCGAAGGCGGCAUCCUGGCCCGUACCUGACGCUGAGGCGCGAGAGCGUGGGGAGCAAACCGG